UUCGCAAUGCCCGAAAGGGUGACGAAGCGACGCCACGUGGGUGAGGAAGGCCUUCGGGUUGUAAAGCCCUGUCAGGAGUUAAGAAAUGUAAGUGUGCUAAUAUCGCAUUUACUUGACGAAGGCUCCAAAGGAAGUCACGGCUAACUCUGUGCCAGCAGCCGCGGUAAUACAGAGGUGGCAAGCGUUGUUCGGAAUUAUUGGGCGUAAAGAGCACGUAGGUGGGUUUGUAAGUCAGAUGUGAAAGCCUUCUGUUCAACGGGAGAAUUGCAUCUGAAACCGUAAGUCUUGAGUAUAGGAGGGGAGAAUGGAACUUCUGGUGGAGCGGUGAAAUGCGUAGAUAUCAGAAGGAACGCCGGCGGCGAAAGCGAUUCUCUGGCCUAUUACUGACACUCAGUGUGCGAAAGCUAGGGGAGCAAACGGGAUUAGAUACCCCGGUAGUCCUAACCGUAAACGAUGGGCACUAAGUAGAGGGGUUUU
Molecule: ribosomal RNA, 477 nt
Filed under: Candidatus Scalindua brodae
Lineage: Bacteria; Pseudomonadati; Planctomycetota; Candidatus Brocadiia; Candidatus Brocadiales; Candidatus Scalinduaceae
Description: bacterial SSU rRNA
Rfam family: Bacterial small subunit ribosomal RNA
Source: RNAcentral